AACGAACGCUGGCGGCAGGCCUAACACAUGCAAGUCGAGCGAGGACUUCGGUCCUAGCGGCGGACGGGUGAGUAACGCGUGGGAACGUGCCCUUUGCUUCGGAAUAGCCCUGGGAAACUGGGAGUAAUACCGGAUGAGCCCUUUGGGGGAAAGAUUUAUCGGCGAAGGAUCGGCCCGCGCUGGAUUAGGUAGUUGGUGGGGUAAUGGCCUACCAAGCCGACGAUCCAUAGCUGGUUUGAGAGGAUGAUCAGCCACACUGGGACUGAGACACGGCCCAGACUCCUACGGGAGGCAGCAGUGGGGAAUCUUAGACAAUGGGGGAAACCCUGAUCUAGCCAUGCCGCGUGAGCGAUGAAGGCCUUAGGGUUGUAAAGCUCUUUCAGCUGGGAAGAUAAUGACGGUACCAGCAGAAGAAGCCCCGGCUAACUCCGUG
Molecule: ribosomal RNA, 433 nt
Filed under: uncultured bacterium
Lineage: Bacteria
Description: partial 16S ribosomal RNA
Rfam family: Bacterial small subunit ribosomal RNA
Source: RNAcentral